Molecule: ribosomal RNA, 892 nt
Filed under: Ophiocordyceps bispora
Lineage: Eukaryota; Fungi; Ascomycota; Sordariomycetes; Hypocreales; Ophiocordycipitaceae
Description: LSU rRNA
Rfam family: Eukaryotic large subunit ribosomal RNA
Source: RNAcentral
AACUUAAGCAUAUCAAUAAGCGGAGGAAAAGAAACCAACAGGGAUUGCCCCAGUAACGGCGAGUGAAGCGGCAACAGCUCAAAUUUGAAAUCUGGCCCCCCCGCGGGGCCCGAGUUGUAAUUUGCAGAGGAUGCUUUUGGCGCGGCGCCUUCCGAGUUCCCUGGAACGGGACGCCAUAGAGGGUGAGAGCCCCGUCUGGUCGGACGCCCAGCCUCUGUAAAGCUCCUUCGACGAGUCGAGUAGUUUGGGAAUGCUGCUCAAAAUGGGAGGUAUAUGUCUUCUAAAGCUAAAUACCGGCCAGAGACCGAUAGCGCACAAGUAGAGUGAUCGAAAGAUGAAAAGCACUUUGAAAAGAGGGUUAAACAGUACGUGAAAUUGUUGAAAGGGAAGCGCUCGUGACCAGACUUGGGCGCGGCGGAUCAUCGGCGUUCUCGCCGGUGCACUCCGCCGGGCCCAGGCCAGCAUCGGUUCGCGGCGGGGGACAAAGGCGUCGGGAACGUGGCUCCCCUCGGGGAGUGUUAUAGCCCGUCGCGCAAUGCCCCGCCAGCGGACCGAGGUACGCCGUCCGCAAGGAUGCUGGCGUAAUGGUCACCAGCGACCCGUCUUGAAACACGGACCAAGGAGUCGUCUUCGUAUGCGAGUGUUCGGGUGUCAAACCCCUACGCGUAAUGAAAGUGAACGCAGGUGAGAGCUUCGGCGCAUCAUCGACCGAUCCUGAUGUUCUCGGAUGGAUUUGAGUAAGAGCAUACGGGGCCGGACCCGAAAGAAGGUGAACUAUGCCUGUAUAGGGUGAAGCCAGAGGAAACUCUGGUGGAGGCUCGCAGCGGUUCUGACGUGCAAAUCGAUCGUCAAAUAUGGGCAUGGGGGCGAAAGACUAAUCGAACCUUCUAGU